UGAGGAAUCUUGGACAAUGGGGGCAACCCUGAUCCAGCAACGCCGCGUGAAGGACGAAGGUCUUCGGAUUGUAAACUUCUUUUGUUGGGGAAUAAAAAAUCUGUGGAAACACGGAGAUUGAAGGUACCCGAUGAAUAAGCCACGGCUAACUUCGUGCCAGCAGCCGCGGUAAUACGAAGGUGGCAAGCGUUACUCGGAAUUACUAGGCGUAAAGGGCAGGUAGGCGGUUCGGUAAGUCUGUUGUGUAAGCUCCCGGCUUAACUGGGAGAGGUCAACGGAAACUACCGGACUUGAGUAUAGGAGAGGUUACUGGAAUUCCCGGUGUAGCGGUGAAAUGCGCAGAGAUCGGGAGGAACACCAAUGGCGAAGGCAGGUAACUGGACUAUUACUGACGCUCAGCUGCGAAAGCUAGGGGAGCAAACAG
RNAcentral lists this ribosomal RNA (424 nucleotides) under uncultured bacterium. Its description in RNAcentral is "bacterial SSU rRNA". It matches the Rfam family "Bacterial small subunit ribosomal RNA", at positions 355 to 775 of the family's 1533-position model. The record is from RNAcentral.